UACGGAGGGUGCAAGCGUUGUUCGGAAUUACUGGGCGUAAAGCGCGUGCAGGCGGCCGAUUAAGUCCGGUGUGAAAGCCCGGGGCUCACCCCCGGAAGUGCGCUGGAAACUGAUCGGCUAGAGUGCGGGAGAGGGAAGCGGAAUUCCUGGUGUAGCGGUGAAAUGCGUAGAUAUCAGGAGGAACACCGGCGGCGAAGGCGGCUUCCUGGACCGACACUGACGCUGAGACGCGAAAGCGUGGGGAGCAAACAGG
Molecule: ribosomal RNA, 253 nt
Filed under: uncultured bacterium
Lineage: Bacteria
Description: partial 16S ribosomal RNA
Rfam family: Bacterial small subunit ribosomal RNA
Source: RNAcentral